UCGCAUCGAUGAAGAACGCAGCGAAAUGCGAUAAGUAAUGUGAAUUGCAGAAUUCAGUGAAUCAUCGAAUCUUUGAACGCACCUUGCGCUCCUUGGUAUUCCGAGGAGCAUGCCUGUUUGAGUGUCAUUAAAUUCUCAACCCCUCUAACUUUUGUUGGAAGGGGCUUGGAUAUGGAGGCUUGCUGGCCCUUUGUUAAAGAAGGUCAGCUCCUCUGAAAUGCAUUAGCGGAAC
This 232-nucleotide ribosomal RNA is filed under the name Macrolepiota gracilenta. RNAcentral describes it as "5.8S ribosomal RNA". The stretch from base 1 to 127 matches the Rfam family "5.8S ribosomal RNA", at positions 28 to 154 of the family's 154-position model. Rfam says of the family: 5.8S ribosomal RNA (5.8S rRNA) is a component of the large subunit of the eukaryotic ribosome. It is transcribed by RNA polymerase I as part of the 45S precursor that also contains 18S and 28S rRNA. Lineage: Eukaryota; Fungi; Basidiomycota; Agaricomycetes; Agaricales; Agaricaceae. The record is from RNAcentral.